RNAcentral lists this ribosomal RNA (253 nucleotides) under uncultured bacterium. RNAcentral's name for it is "partial 16S ribosomal RNA". It matches the Rfam family "Bacterial small subunit ribosomal RNA", at positions 524 to 776 of the family's 1533-position model. The record is from RNAcentral.
UACGUAGGGUGCGAGCGUUGUCCGGAAUUAUUGGGCGUAAAGGGCUCGUAGGCGGUCUGUCGCGUCGGGAGUGAAAACUCAGGGCUUAACCCUGAGCCUGCUUCCGAUACGGGCAGACUAGAGGUAUGCAGGGGAGAACGGAAUUCCUGGUGUAGCGGUGGAAUGCGCAGAUAUCAGGAGGAACACCGGUGGCGAAGGCGGUUCUCUGGGCAUUACCUGACGCUGAGGAGCGAAAGCGUGGGGAGCAAACAGG